RNAcentral lists this long non-coding RNA (2887 nucleotides) under Mus pahari (shrew mouse). RNAcentral describes it as "lncRNA (MGP_PahariEiJ_G0003867.1)". Lineage: Eukaryota; Metazoa; Chordata; Mammalia; Rodentia; Muridae. The record is from RNAcentral.
UAAGUUCAAUAGGUCUUUAUUGAAUGUCAUAGUUCAAGAGGCAAGUCUGGAAACACUGGUAUCAAACAGUGAGCUUGAAACAGGAUCACUGAUGAAUUGGUGAUGAUUACUAGUUAAUGUGAUUUAUGUCUACUUGCUUUCCAAGUAGCUCUCAGGCAUGUGACCUGUGAAACAGCUGCUGUUUACAUACAAGGAUCCAAGGGGAUAUAAGAAUCAUAAGAAUCAGAGCAGAGAGNNNNNNNNNNNNNNNAAAGAAAGAAAAAAAAAAACCCAUAAGCAACAGAAACCAAGGCUACUUAGCAUUAUGAGAAUCCAAUUCUACCUUCACAUGGAACCGUGGAUAGCCCAACACACCAGAAAAUCAAGACUCUGAUUUAAAAUCACAUCUCAUGAUGAUGAUAGAGGACUUUAAGAAGGACAUAAAUAACUCCCUUAAAGAAAGACAGGGGAACAAACACAGGUAAACAGCUAGAAGCCCUUAAAGAGGUAACACAAAAAUCCCUUAAAGAAUUAUAGGAAAACACAACAAAUCAGGUGAAGGAAUUGAACAAAAUCAUCCAGGAUUGUGGGGCAUUGGGCUAUGCACAGACAGCCUGGUUUCCAGUUGAGGCUAGAUGUUGAACCCCGGGACCCAGUGGUGAUAAUUCACUUACAUGGGACGGAAGGAGUUCUCUCAUUUCUCCUGGAACCCUGGCUCCUGUCGAAGUUACUGCCCCCUCAGCCUCCACAAGAGAAGUAUGGUUAGUAGUAAUGUAGGCAAUGUCCCAAGCUUCUGACCUUCAGGCUAAAUUCCUCCCCAGUUACCUAGCAACAGUAAAGAUAACUGCACACCAUAAGAGGGACUGUUCAGCCCCACCUCACUCUCUUACUCUCUUUUCUCUCCUCAUCCUCUCCUCUCACUCUCUUACUCUCUCUCCCUCUUGCUCUCUCCCUCUUACUCUAGCCUUUCUUCUCUCUCUCCAUUUCCCCCUUUCUCUCCUCUUGGUCAUGGCCAGUCUCUCGUUCUACCUUCUCUCUUUCUCCCUGCCUUUCUACAAUACAGCUCUAAAACCAUAGACUAUCUCUGUUCAUCAAGGCCCACUGCGCUUACUCUCACCUCUCUCCAAUAACCCUGGGGGCUACGCCCUGGGGCCCCCGUUCGGGGGAUGCCCCUUGUCCAACCCACCCCCUGUCAACUGGGGUCAGUGGCUUAGAUGCCCACCCAGGGCCGAGUGGAAAGCGUCCAGCAGCCCUCCUGUGUCAGCCUGCCCAGAGCAUAGGAGGAACUUUGGCCAGGCACGGGCUAUCCUCCUCUCCCCCUCUUUCCCCUACAACCUUUUUAGUUCCCACACAGGAUCUAAAAAUUGAAGUAGAAAAAAUAAAGAAAUCACAAAGGAAGACAAUCUUGGAGUUAGAAAACCCAGGAGAGAGAUCAGGAGUCACAGAUGCAAGCAUCACCAACAAAAUACAAGAGAUAGAAGAGAGAAUCUCAGGGGCAGAAGAUACAAUAGAAAACAUUGGCACAACAAUCAAAGAAAAUGCAAAAUGCAAAAAGAUCCUAACCCAAAACAUCCAGGAAAUCCAGGACAAAAUAAGACCAAAUCAAGGAUAAUAGGUUUAGAAGAGAGUGAAUGAAGAUUCUCAACUUAAAGGCCCAGUAAGUAUUUUCAACAAAGUUAUAGAAGAAAAUUUUCCUAACCUAAAGAAAGAGAUGCACAUAAACAUACAAGAAGCCUGGAGAACUCCAAAAAUAUUGGACCAGAAAAGAAAUUCCUCCUGUCAUAUAAUAGUCAAAACAUCAAAUGCACAAAACAAAGAAAAAGAAUAUUAAAAGCAACAAGGAGAAAAGGUCAAGUAACAUAUAAAGGCAGACCUAUCAGAAUUACACCUGACUUCUCACCAGAGACUAUGAAAGCUGGAAGAUCCUGGGCAGAUGUCAUUCAGACCCUAAGAACACAAAUGCCAGCCCAGGCUACUAUACCCAACAAAACUCUCAAUUACCAUGGAUGGAGAAACCAAGAUAUUCCAUGACAAAACCAAAUUUAAACAAAAUCAUUCCACAAAUCCAGCCCUAUAAAGAAUAAUAAUAGAUGGAAAACUCCCAACUCAAGGAGGGAUACUACACCCUAAAAAAAGCAAGAAAGUAAUCUUCAUUCAACAAACCCAAAAGAAGACAUCCACACACACAUAAAAAUAACAUCAAAAAUAACAGGAAGAAACAAUCACUAUUCCUUAACAUCUCUUAACACCAAUGGAACCAAUUCCCCAAUAAAAAGACAUAGACUAAUAGACUGGUUAUGUAAACAGGACCCAACAUUUUGCUAUAUAAAGGAAACACCUCAGUGUCAAAGACAAACACUACCUUAGAGUAAAGGGCUGGAAAACAAUUUUCCAAGCAAAUGAGGUAUACAAGUAUCCAGUAAUAACAAACUUGUAUUCAAACAGAAUUGGAAACACAGCAUUACAACUGAAACAGAAUUCAAUUCUGUGUCUUCAUUUGCAAGCCUGUCAACACUGAAAAGGAUCAUCCCAUUUUCCUGUGACUAGUUUGUAAAUCAUUCUGCUGGCAAAUAACAAAAUUGCACUGAAAACCUUUAUUAGUCCUCCUUCCUUCCCUUUCUCCCCUGUAGUAAUGGAACAAUGAAGGGAAUUUGCAGUUAGAGGUAUUAGUGUUUAAUAGAGCUAGAUUUUUCAUCAACAGUGCUUUCUUCUGACAAAUUUUAUAUUAUUAAGUGCAUCAGGUAAAUAGUCACAUGCUUUGAAUUCUCUAUAUAGAUAUCAACACAAGAGUUAAUGGCAGUUUAGAAUCUCAUUCCCACUGGUCAGAAUUCUUUAAAAUAGUCUCCGCACACUGUAAGUGAGGACUGGUCUCAAUAAAAUUCUGCAGUUAAAAGGUACAGCAAAGAAG